GGCUGGUCUGAAUGCAGUGGUGUUUACAACUAAUUGAUCACAACCAGUUACAGAUUCCUUUGUUCCUUCUCCACUCCCACUGCUUGCUUCACUUGACCAAAAA
Otolemur garnettii (small-eared galago) is the source of this 103-nucleotide unclassified non-coding RNA. It matches the Rfam family "Y RNA". From Rfam's summary of the family: Y RNAs are components of the Ro ribonucleoprotein particle (Ro RNP), in association with Ro60 and La proteins. The Y RNAs and Ro60 and La proteins are well conserved, but the function of the Ro RNP is not known. In humans the RNA component can be one of four small RNAs -- hY1, hY3, hY4 and hY5. NCBI's taxonomy places the organism in Eukaryota, Metazoa, Chordata, Mammalia, Primates, Galagidae. The record is from Ensembl.